Molecule: ribosomal RNA, 305 nt
Filed under: uncultured bacterium
Lineage: Bacteria
Description: bacterial SSU rRNA
Rfam family: Bacterial small subunit ribosomal RNA
Source: RNAcentral
GGCAACCUACGGGGGGCAGCAGUGAGGAAUAUUGGUCAAUGGGCGGGAGCCUGAACCAGCCACGCCGCGUGAAGGAAGAAGGCGCCAGGCGUCGUAAACUUCUUUUGUCGGGGAACAAAGGGCGCCACGCGUGGCGUUGUGAGUGUACCCGAAGAAAAAGCAUCGGCUAACUCCGUGCCAGCAGCCGCGGUAAUACGGAGGAUGCGAGCGUUAUCCGGAUUUAUUGGGUUUAAAGGGUGCGUAGGCGGUCCGGAAAGUCAGCAGUAAAAGCCCGGGGCUCAACCUCGGCGAGCCGUUGAAACUGU